GAAUCAAAACUUUCAACAACGGAUCUCUUGGUUCUGGCAUCGAUGAAGAACGCAGCGAAAUGCGAUAAGUAAUGUGAAUUGCAGAAUUCAGUGAAUCAUCGAAUCUUUGAACGCACAUUGCGCCCGCCAGUAUUCUGGCGGGCAUGCCUGUCCGAGCGUC
RNAcentral lists this ribosomal RNA (160 nucleotides) under Trichoderma brevicompactum. RNAcentral's name for it is "5.8S ribosomal RNA". It matches the Rfam family "5.8S ribosomal RNA". Rfam says of the family: 5.8S ribosomal RNA (5.8S rRNA) is a component of the large subunit of the eukaryotic ribosome. The record is from RNAcentral. Lineage: Eukaryota; Fungi; Ascomycota; Sordariomycetes; Hypocreales; Hypocreaceae.